CAAUAGCGUAUAUUAAAGUUGUUGCAGUUAAAAAGCUCGUAGUUGGAUUUCUGCCAGGGUGCCAAUGUCCGCCGAAGUGCGUGCGCAGCGGCGCCCUCGCAUCCUUCUGUUAACGCCUCUCGGCAUUUACUUGCCGGUGGUGGGCUCAGAUAAUUUACCUUGAGAAAAUUAGAGUGUUUCAGGCAGGCUAGGCCGGAAUACAUUAGCAUGGAAUAAUGGAAUAGGACUACGGUCUCGUUGUUGGUUUGAGGGACUGGAGUAAUGAUUAAUAGGGAUAGUUGGGGGCAUUAGUAUUUAAUUGUCAGAGGUGAAAUUCUCAGAUUUGUUAAAGACUAACUUAUGCGAAAGCAUUUGCCAAGGAUGUUUUCAUUAAUCAAGAACGAAAGUUAGGGGAUCAAAGACGAUCAGAUACCAU
RNAcentral lists this ribosomal RNA (415 nucleotides) under uncultured eukaryote. RNAcentral describes it as "SSU rRNA". It matches the Rfam family "Eukaryotic small subunit ribosomal RNA", at positions 592 to 1018 of the family's 1831-position model. The record is from RNAcentral.